AGCCAAUCUGUCGCCUCAUGUCUUGAUACCUGUAAAAGAGAAACAUGAAGAUAUAAGAAAAAGACCAGAGGAGCGAACGGAUGAUCUGCGAUUCAGAAAGAGGAGCAGAAGCUGUUCAGAAUCAACGUCAAACGCGUUUAGGAAAUGGACAGAAGAUGAGAGCGCAGACGCGUCCCAAACCGAUGCUCUCGUUCAAAGUGUGAAUGUCCGCGGUGACAGAGCGAGAGGGGCAGACAGACAGCGUGUCCUCGCACUCGUACAGAAGAGGAAGCAGAGUCUGUUAACACUCACACCUGUCAGCCCACGGGAUGCUCGCUGAAUGAGAUGCGAACGGAAUCCAGCGACAGAUGAAGGAGUGCAAGGGACACUAGCUCCUCUUCUAUUAGUGCCGUUUGCUCUUCUCCUGCUCAUACUGAGCAAAACACAAGUCAUGUCUACAGAUCAGAAUAUCAGACAGACUCAAGGGGGGUUUGUUUAGUUCAGUGACCACUUAGCAACCACAUAGCAACACACUAAAAACACUCAGAACACCUCAGAGACUGCAUAGCAACACCUUGGCAACCAAUCGAAAUACCAAGCAAGCACUCCAAGAUGAAGCUAUUGACUAUGAAGCAACACCCUACAGCCACUUAGCCUAGCAACCACAUAGCAACAACCUAAAUUUAUUUAGAACAUCCUAGCAAAUGCAUAGCAACACCAAUCUCUUUAGUCCUACAUAGCAACAUUCUAAACCCACCUGCUUUUCUCCUGCUCAUACUGAGCAAAACACAAGUCAUAAAUAAAGAUCACACUAUCAGACAGACUCGAGGGUUGGGUUUGUUUAAAUGAGGCCAGUUACCACUUAGCAACACACUAAAAACACUCAGAGAACACCUCAGAGUCUGCAUAGCAACAGUCUGGCAACCAAUCGAAAUACCAAGCAAGCACUCCAAGAAGAACCUAUUGACUAUGAAGCAACACCCUACAGUCACUUACCCUAGCAACCACAUAGCAACAACCUAAACUUAUUUAGAACACCCUAGCAGCUGCAUAGCAAUACCGAUCUCUUUUGUCCUGCAUAGCAACAUUCUAAACCCACUUAGAACACCCUAGCAACUGCAUAGCAACAACCUAAACAUAUUUAGAACAGUCUAGCAACUGCAUAGCAACAACAUAAACAUAUUUAGAACACCCUAACAACCACACAGCAAAAACCUAAACUUAUUCAGAACACCCUAACAAACACACAGCGACAACCUGAACUUUUUACAACACCCUAGCAACUGCACAGCAAUAGCAAUCUCUUUAGUCCCACAUAGCAACAUUCUAAACCCACUCAUAACACCUUAAAAGCCACACAGCAACAACCUAAACUUACUUAGAACAGCCUAGCAACUGCACAGCAAUGCUCAACAAAAAUCCCUAGUCAUCCCUAGAACAUCCUAACAACCACAGAGCAACAUCCAGAACGCGCUACAUUGUUCUGGCAAACCCGCAGCAUCAAGCAUCUGCUGCUGCGUUUCAUCAAGGCACAGCUCACAGGCUCUCCAGUAAGAGAACAGUGUAUUUCAGAGUCUGUAGUGAACGGGUGAAAGCUUGGGCUUGAUGCUCCUUUACUGUGAUGCCAGUGAAGUUUGGGCUCUGAGAGACAGAAUGAGGAGAAAAAAGCAAGAGAGUGAAGAGUCAGCAGCAGCAGCAAUAGCAGCCUCUCUCAGGUCAGCAUGACACCUCCAGCAGAACACAGAGAGAACAGACUGAUGAAAGCUGAGGCUACGGCUCUGAAAGAGGCCCGACGGGGGGCAAACAGCACCGGAGAACAAAGACAGAACAGCCCAACAGAUUCUUAGAAAUAUGAGAGACGGCGUCCUCAAGACAUCAGCACUUUUUCUGAUGAAAGCCCUCAAAAUGCCAACCAUGCGCUGCUUUAUUUUUUGGGUUUUGUAGAGUUCCAGGACAUGAAGUGUAAUCAGGUUGAAAUGCUGUCAGCAAGUAAACAAAUUAAACUUCAUUACAGCUGACAGUGUGUUGAGCUCUACGU
Long non-coding RNA from Onychostoma macrolepis, 2017 nucleotides. RefSeq lists it as uncharacterized. The record is from RefSeq and is a predicted model, not a curated record. The transcript is spliced from 3 exons. Lineage: Eukaryota; Metazoa; Chordata; Actinopteri; Cypriniformes; Cyprinidae.